AAUGAACGUUGGCGGCGUGGAUUAGGCAUGCAAGUCGAACGCUUCAUGUAGCAAUACAUGAGGAGUGGCGUAAGGGAGAGUAAUACAUAGUUAGCUGCCCUCGGGUCUGGGAUAGCGGCGGGAAACUGCCGGUAAUACCAGAUGAUAUCUUCGGAUCAAAGGUGUAAUUUCGCCCGAGGAGGUGACUGUGUCCUAUCAGCUUGUUGGG
RNAcentral lists this ribosomal RNA (208 nucleotides) under uncultured bacterium. RNAcentral's name for it is "partial 16S ribosomal RNA". It matches the Rfam family "Bacterial small subunit ribosomal RNA", at positions 29 to 253 of the family's 1533-position model. The record is from RNAcentral.